RNAcentral lists this ribosomal RNA (458 nucleotides) under uncultured Sphingobacteriales bacterium. RNAcentral's name for it is "bacterial SSU rRNA". It matches the Rfam family "Bacterial small subunit ribosomal RNA", at positions 923 to 1382 of the family's 1533-position model. The record is from RNAcentral. Lineage: Bacteria; Pseudomonadati; Bacteroidota; Sphingobacteriia; Sphingobacteriales.
GCACAAGCGGAGGAGCAUGUGGUUUAAUUCGAUGAUACGCGAGGAACCGUUACCUGGGCUCGAACGUAAGAUGACUGUAGGUGAAAGCUUAUAUCUCUUCGGAGCAUUUUACGAGGUGCUGCAUGGUUGUCGUCAGCUCGUGCCGUGAGGUGUCGGUUAAGUCCCAUAACGAGCGCAACCCUACCUUUAGUUGCCAUCAGGUAAUGCUGGGGACUCUAAAGGAACUGCCUACGCAAGUAGUGAGGAAGGCGGGGAUGACGUCAAAUCAGCACGGCCCUUACGUCCAGGGCUACACACGUGCUACAAUGGCCGAUACAGAGGGCAGCUACCUGGUGACAGGAUGCAAAUCUCCAAAGUCGGUCUCAGUUCGGAUCGGAGUCUGCAACCCGACUCCGUGAAGUUGGAUUCGCUAGUAAUCGCGCAUCAGCCAUGGCGCGGUGAAUACGUUCCCGGGCCUU